This 234-nucleotide ribosomal RNA is filed under the name uncultured microorganism. Its description in RNAcentral is "partial 16S ribosomal RNA". It matches the Rfam family "Bacterial small subunit ribosomal RNA", at positions 9 to 244 of the family's 1533-position model. The record is from RNAcentral.
GAGUUUGAUCCUGGCUCAGGACGAACGCUGGCGGCGUGCCUAAUACAUGCAAGUCGAGCGAGUCUCUUCGGAGGCUAGCGGCGGACGGGUGAGUAACACGUAGGCAACCUGCCUCUCAGACCGGGAUAACAUAGGGGAAACUUAUGCUAAUACCGGAUAGGUUUUUGGAUGCAUGAUCCGAAAAGAAAGAUGGCUUUCGUCUAUCACUGGGAGAUGGGCCGUGCGGCGCAUUAG